Long non-coding RNA from Anneissia japonica, 718 nucleotides. RefSeq lists it as uncharacterized. The transcript is spliced from 4 exons. The record is from RefSeq and is a predicted model, not a curated record. NCBI's taxonomy places the organism in Eukaryota, Metazoa, Echinodermata, Crinoidea, Comatulida, Comatulidae.
GAGGGAAGUAUAAAAAUGAGAAAAGAAUCCUGUACUGGUCAGUAAGCAACAAACUCUUACCCUAGAAUCACCGUUUUAAGGAAGUUCAGUCAGUCAAAAUACGCUCAUCAUUCAAGAUGGUCUUCAAAGUCACAUUGCUCGUCUUUAUCAGCAUGGCCAUUAUAUUAUCGAACAAAGGAGCUGACGCUCAGGACGAUGCAAACCCUGAUUGUGUUGAUAGUAACCCAAACCUCUGCGAAAGAUAUAGACCAUAUUGUAAUGCGCCUAUAUUUUCUACGGACGCCUAUAAAAUGUGCCCGAAAACUUGCUGUGCCACCGGCUGCUGCCCAUAAGCUUUUUGAAGUGAUCUGUGAUGAGCUGUGAAAGUAUUUUAACACAGUAUAACUGAAGUACCAAUUACAUUCGUUAAAUUUGUUUAGUCACCAAAAAUUGAGUUUCUGUUCAUCUGUAUAGUAGGCCGGAUGCCUUUUGUGUUUAUCAACGUUUUAAAUUAACUCAGAAUUUUUAAUACAUUGUCAAAAGUAUACAUUAUUGUCUGAAAAUACAAAAGAGUACAAAUGAAUCGAGGAAAAAUUUAGCGUUUAAUAAUUUAGGAUUUGUUAGCUUAAUAGCAUAAAGGGUCUUUACACAUUUAGUGCAGUUGUUGAUACAAGGUUGUGUGCUUUUAAUAUAAUUCGUUGUCUUCUAAUUGGUGAAAUGCGCAGAAUAAUGGGUCAAG